This 856-nucleotide ribosomal RNA is filed under the name Pseudomonas sp. AKB-2008-HE8. RNAcentral's name for it is "bacterial SSU rRNA". It matches the Rfam family "Bacterial small subunit ribosomal RNA", at positions 18 to 869 of the family's 1533-position model. The record is from RNAcentral. Lineage: Bacteria; Pseudomonadati; Pseudomonadota; Gammaproteobacteria; Pseudomonadales; Pseudomonadaceae.
CCUGGCUCAGAUUGAACGCUGGCGGCAGGCCUAACACAUGCAAGUCGAGCGGUAGAGAGAAGCUUGCUUCUCUUGAGAGCGGCGGACGGGUGAGUAAUGCCUAGGAAUCUGCCUGGUAGUGGGGGAUAACGUUCGGAAACGGACGCUAAUACCGCAUACGUCCUACGGGAGAAAGCAGGGGACCUUCGGGCCUUGCGCUAUCAGAUGAGCCUAGGUCGGAUUAGCUAGUUGGUGAGGUAAUGGCUCACCAAGGCRACGAUCCGUAACUGGUCUGAGAGGAUGAUCAGUCACACUGGAACUGAGACACGGUCCAGACUCCUACGGGAGGCAGCAGUGGGGAAUAUUGGACAAUGGGCGAAAGCCUGAUCCAGCCAUGCCGCGUGUGUGAAGAAGGUCUUCGGAUUGUAAAGCACUUUAAGUUGGGAGGAAGGGCAUUAACCUAAUACGUUAGUGUUUUGACGUUACCGACAGAAUAAGCACCGGCUAACUCUGUGCCAGCAGCCGCGGUAAUACAGAGGGUGCAAGCGUUAAUCGGAAUUACUGGGCGUAAAGCGCGCGUAGGUGGUUUGUUAAGUUGGAUGUGAAAUCCCCGGGCUCAACCUGGGAACUGCAUUCAAAACUGACUGACUAGAGUAUGGUAGAGGGUGGUGGAAUUUCCUGUGUAGCGGUGAAAUGCGUAGAUAUAGGAAGGAACACCAGUGGCGAAGGCGACCACCUGGACUAAUACUGACACUGAGGUGCGAAAGCGUGGGGAGCAAACAGGAUUAGAUACCCUGGUAGUCCACGCCGUAAACGAUGUCAACUAGCCGUUGGAAGCCUUGAGCUUUUAGUGGCGCAGCUAACGCAUUAAGUUGAC